This 1436-nucleotide ribosomal RNA is filed under the name uncultured bacterium. RNAcentral describes it as "bacterial SSU rRNA". It matches the Rfam family "Bacterial small subunit ribosomal RNA". The record is from RNAcentral.
AGAGUUUGAUCCUGGCUCAGAACGUACGCUGGCGGCACGCCUAACACAUGCAAGUCGAACGAAGUAGCAAUACUUAGUGGCAGACGGGUGAGUAACAUGUAGGUAUCUGCCCUUUGGCCUGGAAUAACACGAGGAAACUUGUGCUAAUACCGGAUAAGUCUUUACGGAGAAAGCUUUAUGCACCAUUGGAUGAGCCCGCACUUGAUUAGUUUGUUGGUGGGGUAAUGGCCUACCAAGACUGUGAUCAGUAGCUGAUUUGAGAGGAUGAUCAGCCACAUUGGGACUGAGACACGGCCCAAACUCCUACGGGAGGCAGCAGUGGGGAAUCUUGCACAAUGGAGGAAACUCUGAUGCAGCGAUGCCGCGUGAGUGAAGAAGGCCCUUGGGUUGUAAAGCUCUUUCGUCGGGGAAGAAAAUGACUGUACCCGAAUAAGAAGGUCCGGCUAACUUCGUGCCAGCAGCCGCGGUAAUACGAAGGGACCUAGCGUAGUUCGGAAUUACUGGGCUUAAAGAGUUCGUAGGUGGUUGAAAAAGUUGGUGGUGAAAUCCCAGAGCUUAACUCUGGAACUGCCAUCAAAACUUUUCAGCUAGAGUAUGAUAGAGGAAAGCAGGAUUUCUAGUGUAGAGGUGAAAUUCGUAGAUAUUAGAAAGAAUACCAAUUGCGAAGGCAGCUUUCUGGAUCAUUACUGACACUGAGGAACGAAAGCAUGGGUAGCGAAGAGGAUUAGAUACCCUCGUAGUCCAUGCCGUAAACGAUGUGUGUUAGACGUUGGAAACUUGUUUUCAGUGUCGCAGCGAAAGCGAUAAACACACCGCCUGGGGAGUACGACCGCAAGGUUAAAACUCAAAUGAAUUGACGGGGACCCGCACAAGUAGUGGAGCAUGUGGUUUAAUUCGAAGAUACGCGCAGAACCUUACCAACACUUGACAUGUUCGUCGCGACUUUAAGAGAUUAAAGUUUUCGGUUCGGCCGGACGAAACACAGGUGCUGCAUGGCUGUCGUCAGCUCGUGUCGUGAGAUGUUGGGUUAAGUCCCGCAACGAGCGCAACCCUCACUUUUAGUUGCCAUCAUUAAGUUGGGCACUCUGAAAGAACUGCCAGUGAUAAGCUGGAGGAAGGUGGGGAUGACGUCAAGUCCUCAUGGCCCUUACGUGUUGGGCUACACACGUGCUACAAUGGUAUCUACAACAGGAAGCAAGACGGCGACGUUAAGCAAAUCCUUAAAAGAUACCUCAGUUCGGAUUGCACUCUGCAACUCGAGUGCAUGAAGCCGGAAUUACUAGUAAUCGUGGAUCAGCGUGCCACGGUGAAUGCGUUCCCGGGUCUUGUACACACCGCCCGUCACACCAUGGGAGUUGGUUCUACCUUAAGGCAAGGUUUUAAACCCUUGACCACGGUAUAGUCAGCGACUGGGGUGAAGUCGUAACAAGGUAACC